AUACGGAGGGUGCAAGCGUUACUCGGAAUCACUGGGCGUAAAGCGCGCGCAGGCGGCCUGAUAAGUUGGAUGUGAAAGCCUACGGCUCAACCGUAGAACUGCAUCCAAAACUGUCAGGCUAGAGGGUGGGAGAGGAAGAUGGAAUUAGUUGUGUAGGGGUAAAAUCCGUAGAGAUAACUAGGAAUACCAAAAGCGAAGGCAAUCUUCUGGAACACUACUGACGCUGAGGCGCGAAGGCGUGGGGAGCAAACAGGAUUAGAAACCCUAGUAGUCC
This 274-nucleotide ribosomal RNA is filed under the name uncultured bacterium. Its description in RNAcentral is "partial 16S ribosomal RNA". It matches the Rfam family "Bacterial small subunit ribosomal RNA", at positions 523 to 796 of the family's 1533-position model. The record is from RNAcentral.